Long non-coding RNA from Carassius auratus (goldfish), 1058 nucleotides. RefSeq lists it as uncharacterized. The record is from RefSeq and is a predicted model, not a curated record. Lineage: Eukaryota; Metazoa; Chordata; Actinopteri; Cypriniformes; Cyprinidae. The transcript is spliced from 5 exons.
UAAAAAUUGCUGUUAAUUUACGUCAAAAUUUUAACAGUAUAAACCCGUUAUUUUAAAAAGCAGUGCUUACCUGUUUAUUUACGUUCGGUGAAAUGACCUAGAUAAAAUUUAACGUUAUUUUACCGUAUUUAUUGCUUGAAGGAAAGAAAACAGUACUUAACAGUAUUUUGGGAACAGAAAGCUGCAGCGAGCACAUGUGGAUUUUCAUCCGUCUUUAUAUUGUGAUUUAACCGUGCUAAAAUCGUCAACGUUCCAACGGCAUCAUAGAUUGGAGCUGGAUAGAUUCAGAUAUCCCCCGAUUACAAGGCAUCUUCCACUGCAGCUGAUGUAGAAAGGACACUUGAACUACCUUCAACUCCUCGACUGAUACUCUUUGGUGAAAAACCAGGAAGCUGCAUUCAUAAAUGGAUGAUUAGUUUUGAGGGGCAAAUAAUCUGUGAGGGCAUCCAGCCAAGUUUUCUGUCUGGACUUGCUGCUGUGUUUUCAACUUUCUACAAUUUCAAUGUGGAGUACCAAGCUGAGGCUGCAUCCACGUUGGAAUUUAUUCAGAGGUGCUUCAUUGGAAUAAAUCCUGAAAAAGGCACCAAGGGUGGACAAGUCCUAUCAAAGCGGACAGGGAAGGUCGGCCACAAAAAGAAAUCAGUCAACACUCGGGUUGCCAGUCUACUUAAGAAGCUAAUGGACUUUGAGUGGGACUUCAUAUAAGUGAACUCACUCAUCCACUGACAUACCACACACACACACCGUACACAUACUCUUCACACAUGAUAAAAACAUGUUUUUAGUGUGUUUAGUCGCACAAUUUUUUCAGGUGUUCAUUCUUGAAUACCUACAUUUUGACUUCAUUCAUCAUUGAAUUAUUUCUUCAUUCAGUAACUCUUAUUCACUAAUAAUUUAGUAAUUCUUAUUCUCUCAGCAGUUCGCUAAAGUCACUCAUUUAUUUUUUUCUAAUGUUAUGUAAAUUAUUUGUUUAUUCAGUUAAACGAAAGUUUACUCUGAGGCUUAAGUUUUAGUCAUUCCACUUGCAUCAGCCACUAAUUUUGAGAAUAUUUUGUGAU